RNAcentral lists this ribosomal RNA (306 nucleotides) under uncultured bacterium. RNAcentral describes it as "bacterial SSU rRNA". It matches the Rfam family "Bacterial small subunit ribosomal RNA", at positions 43 to 303 of the family's 1533-position model. The record is from RNAcentral.
GACCAUGCCUAAUACAUGCAAGUCGAGCGAACAGAAAAGAGAGCUUGCUCCUUUGACGUCAGCGGCGGACGGGUGAGUAACACGUGGGCAACCUACCUUAUAGUUUGGGAUAACUCCGGGAAACCGGGGCUAAUACCGAAUAAUACUAUAUNUUACUUCAUAGGUAAAAUAACUAGAAAGACGGUNUAUACGGCUAGUACGCUAAUAAAGAUAGGGCCACAGCGGGCGACCAUAUAGCUAAGCUAGGUGAGUGUAAACGGAUCAACCAAGGCGANNGAUGACAGUAGUCCGAANCUGAGAGGGUGA